Helicoverpa zea (corn earworm) is the source of this 639-nucleotide long non-coding RNA. RefSeq lists it as uncharacterized. The transcript is spliced from 6 exons. NCBI's taxonomy places the organism in Eukaryota, Metazoa, Arthropoda, Insecta, Lepidoptera, Noctuidae. The record is from RefSeq and is a predicted model, not a curated record.
GCGCCAAACCGUUUACCAAAAUCGGCGGGAAACGCAAUUUCGUCCUGUCAGUGACAGUUUUAUUCAGAAAGAGUUGUUGUGCUGUGUAAAGGAUAAAAGAAAAUUAGGCAAGAUGAAUCGGCGUAGUUUACGCCAAAGGCCGAGAAUUAGUUACUAUGAACCCGAAGAGCCGAGUUUGGACGAAUACAUUUAUUGCGAUGGGUGCACCGACUUUGUGUACGAAUACUGUGCGAUUCACGGGCCUUUACUGGUCAUUCCUGAUGAUAAGGCGCUGGUCUGGGUAUAUUCAGUACUUUGACUCUACCACGCGGCGUUCGCUUCGGUCCGUACUGCGGAGUUCGCACGCAAAAUGUCGACUCCAUGUAUUGUUGGCAGAUAUACGAUAGAAACGGCAAAAGAUCUCACGUAGUGGACGCGGAGGAUGGUAAUCGGUCCAACUGGAUGCGUUACGUCAACUGCGCGCGGAACUGGCGGGAACAAAACCUCUUGGCUUACCAAUAUCAAGGGCAGCUUUAUUAUAGAACUAUCAAAAUAAUCCCUCGCUUCACGGAGCUACUAGUGUUCUACGGCAGCGAGUUCGCGAACACGCUGCAUAUCAACCUGAGCAAGUAUAACGCGCCUCCGGGAUAUGCUCAGAAA